GAUUAACGCUAGCGGCAGGCCUAAUACAUGCAAGUCGAACGGGAUUCAAAGUAGCAAUAUUUGAUGAGAGUGGCGCACGGGUGAGUAACACGUAUGCAAUUUACCUUUAACUGGGGGAUAGCCCUCCGAAAGGAGGAUUAAUACCGCAUAAUAUAUUGAAAUGGCAUCAUUUAAUAUUAACCUACGGGGUAAGAUGAGCAUGCAUCCGAUUAGCUAGUUGGUGUGGUAACGGCUCACCAAGGCAACGAUCGGUAGGGGGUCUGAGAGGAUGAUCCCCCACACUGGUACUGAGACACGGACCAGACUCCUACGGGAGGCAGCAGUAAGGAAUAUUGGACAAUGGAGGCAACUCUGAUCCAGCCAUGCCGCGUGAAGGAUUAAGGCCCUAUGGGUUGGUAAACUUCUUUUAGACGGGACAAAACCCCUUUACGUGUAAAGGGUUGAUGGUACUGUCAGAAUAAGCAUCGGCUAAACUUC
Molecule: ribosomal RNA, 477 nt
Filed under: uncultured bacterium
Lineage: Bacteria
Description: bacterial SSU rRNA
Rfam family: Bacterial small subunit ribosomal RNA
Source: RNAcentral